UGGCUCAUUAAAUCAGUUAUCGUAUAUUUGAUAGUACCUACUACAUGGAUAACCGUGGUAAUUCUAGAGCUAAUACAUGCUUAAAAUCCCGACUUCGGAAGGGAUGUAUUUAUUAGAUUAAAAACCAAUGCCCUUCGGGGCUCACUGGUGAUUCAUAAUAACUUCUCGAAUCGCAUGGCCUUGUGCCGGCGAUGGUUCAUUCAAAUUUCUGCCCUAUCAACUUUCGACGGCUGGGUCUUGGCCAGCCGUGGUUACAACGGGUAACGGAGGGUUAGGGCUUGACCCCGGAGAAGGAGCCUGAGAAACGGCUACUACAUCCAAGGAAGGCAGCAGGCGCGCAAAUUACCCAAUCCCGACACGGGGAGGUAGUGACAAUAAAUACUGAUACAGGGCUCUUUUGGGUCUUGUAAUUGGAAUGAGUACAAUUUAAAUCCCUUAACGAGGAACAAUUGGAGGGCAAGUCUGGUGCCAGCAGCCGCGGUAAUUCCAGCUCCAAUAGCGUAUAUUAAAGUUGUUGCAGUUAAAAAGCUCGUAGUUGAACCUUGGGCCUGGCUGGCCGGUCUGCCUCACCGCAUGCACUGGUCCGGCCGGGCCUUUCCCUCUGGGGAUCCGCAUGCCCUUCACUGGGUGUGUCGGGGAACCAGGACUUUUACUGUGAAAAAAUUAGAGUGUUCAAAGCAGGCCUAUGCUCGAAUACAUUAGCAUGGAAUAAUAGAAUAGGACGUUGCGGUUCUAUUUUGUUGGUUUCUAGGACCGCCGUAAUGAUUAAUAGGGACAGUCGGGGGCGUCAGUAUUCAAUCGUCAGAGGUGAAAUUCUUGGAUCGAUUGAAGACUAACUACUGCGAAAGCAUUCGCCAAGGAUGUUUUCAUUAAUCAGGAACGAAAGUUAGGGGAUCGAAAACGAUCAGAUACCGUUGUAGUCUUAACCAUAAACUAUGCCGACUAGGGAUCGGGCGAUGUUAUUUCUUGACUCGCUC
Molecule: ribosomal RNA, 977 nt
Filed under: Cytospora pingbianensis
Lineage: Eukaryota; Fungi; Ascomycota; Sordariomycetes; Diaporthales; Cytosporaceae
Description: SSU rRNA
Rfam family: Eukaryotic small subunit ribosomal RNA
Source: RNAcentral